UCCGUAGGCGGAUUUUUAAGUCAGAGGUGAAAGCCUGCAGCUCAACUGUGGAACUGCCUUUGAUACUGGAAAUCUUGAGUGUGCGUGAAGUAGGCGGAAUAAGUCAUGUAGCGGUGAAAUGCAUAGAUAUGACUUAGAACACCGAUUGCGAAGGCAGCUUACUAAAGCACUACUGACGCUGAGGGACGAAAGCGUGGGGAGCGAACA
RNAcentral lists this ribosomal RNA (207 nucleotides) under uncultured bacterium. RNAcentral's name for it is "partial 16S ribosomal RNA". It matches the Rfam family "Bacterial small subunit ribosomal RNA", at positions 568 to 774 of the family's 1533-position model. The record is from RNAcentral.